GCGGGACACGUGGUAUCCUGUCUGAAUAUGGGGGGACCAUCCUCCAAGGCUAAAUACUCCUGACUGACCGAUAGUGAACCAGUACCGUGAGGGAAAGGCGAAAAGAACCCCGGCGAGGGGAGUGAAAAAGAACCUGAAACCGUGUACGUACAAGCAGUGGGAGCCUCUUAAUGGGGUGACUGCGUACCUUUUGUAUAAUGGGUCAGCGACUUAUAUUCUGUAGCAAGGUUAACCGAAUAGGGGAGCCGAAGGGAAACCGAGUCUUAACUGGGCGUUAAGUUGCAGGGUAUAGACCCGAAACCCGGUGAUCUAGCCAUGGGCAGGUUGAAGGUUGGGUAACACUAACUGGAGGACCGAACCGACUAAUGUUGAAAAAUUAGCGGAUGACUUGUGGCUGGGGGUGAAAGGCCAAUCAAACCGGGAGAUAGCUGGUUCUCCCCGAAAGCUAUUUAGGUAGCGCCUCGUGAAUUCAUCUCCGGGGGUAGAGCACUGUUUCGGCAAGGGGGUCAUCCCGACUUACCAACCCGAUGCAAACUGCGAAUACCGGAGAAUGUUAUCACGGGAGACACACGGCGGGUGCUAACGUCCGUCGUGAAGAGGGAAACAACCCAGACCGCCAGCUAAGGUCCCAAAGUCAUGGUUAAGUGGGAAACGAUGUGGGAAGGCCCAGACAGCCAGGAUGUUGGCUUAGAAGCAGCCAUCAUUUAAAGAAAGCGUAAUAGCUCACUGGUCGAGUCGGCCUGCGCGGAAGAUGUAACGGGGCUAAACCAUGCACCGAAGCUGCGGCAGCGACACUAUGUGUUGUUGGGUAGGGGAGCGUUCUGUAAGCCUGUGAAGGUGGCCUGUGAGGGUUGCUGGAGGUAUCAGAAGUGCGAAUGCUGACAUAAGUAACGAUAAAGCGGGUGAAAAGCCCGCUCGCCGGAAGACCAAGGGUUCCUGUCCAACGUUAAUCGGGGCAGGGUGAGUCGACCCCUAAGGCGAGGCCGAAAGGCGUAGUCGAUGGGAAACAGGUUAAUAUUCCUG
RNAcentral lists this ribosomal RNA (1023 nucleotides) under Escherichia coli. RNAcentral describes it as "partial 23S ribosomal RNA". It matches the Rfam family "Bacterial large subunit ribosomal RNA", at positions 417 to 1441 of the family's 2925-position model. Lineage: Bacteria; Pseudomonadati; Pseudomonadota; Gammaproteobacteria; Enterobacterales; Enterobacteriaceae. The record is from RNAcentral.